RNAcentral lists this ribosomal RNA (446 nucleotides) under uncultured bacterium. Its description in RNAcentral is "bacterial SSU rRNA". It matches the Rfam family "Bacterial small subunit ribosomal RNA", at positions 330 to 793 of the family's 1533-position model. The record is from RNAcentral.
CCCAGACUCCUACGGGAGGCAGCAGUGGGGAAUAUUGCACAAUGGGGGAAACCCUGAUGCAGCGACGCCGCGUGAGUGAAGAAGUAUUUCGGUAUGUAAAGCUCUAUCAGCAGGGAAGAUAAUGACGGUACCUGAGUAAGAAGCCCCGGCUAACUACGUGCCAGCAGCCGCGGUAAUACGUAGGGGGCAAGCGUUAUCCGGAUUUACUGGGUGUAAAGGGAGCGUAGACGGCAUGGCAAGUCUGAAGUGAAAGCCCGGGGCUCAACCGCGGGACUGCUUUGGAAACUGUUAAGCUGGAGUGCAGGAGAGGUAAGUGGAAUUCCUAGUGUAGCGGUGAAAUGCGUAGAUAUUAGGAGGAACACCAGUGGCGAAGGCGGCUUACUGGACUGUAACUGACGUUGAGGCUCGAAAGCGUGGGGAGCAAACAGGAUUAGAUACCCUGGUAC